CAAAGGCAUUGCUUUCUUUGUUAAUCUGAAAACAGUAAUCCUAUUAACUUGCUGAUUACACAGCAGUGUACGAAAAUGGCUUGUACUUAUGAAAGUACGUCAUAUAUUUGCAAUAGCUACUAAAAGAUUUGCGAAAUAUAUGUCAGCCUCACCAUAUCAUCACAAAACGUUAUUGAAGACAUAGUGGGUGCUUCAGCAACCCUCUGGACCAGCCUGUUAUGUUGGUGGACUACAUGUGUGGCUACAGCAGCAGAAGCCACUAGAUCUGGAAGCUCUCAUGUCUCCACACUUUUUAUGUAUUUUUUCAUGCUGCUGAUUGGAUUCUACUUCUGAAGGACAAUGGUGUAGAAUUUAGCUGACAGACACAAUAACAGUGUGCAAGGGAGUUUUGCAAAAGGAAAAGUCUUUGACAAUCAUCAGAUGAGACUACAAAUAUUGGUAACUCACAAGCUGCAAAAUGGUAAGGUAUUUCUUCCACCACAGGUACUUAGCUACUGCUGGGCCCAGGGCAGAAAGCCCAUAAUAUGUGUACAUCAGUACAUGGAUGAAGCUAUUAGCCAUUGCUGGAAGGAAGGCUGAAAAACAAGGAUACAUACCUUAAAUACUAAUCCAAGCUAAAAUUAAAACCAUAUGGUCAGUUGUGAAGGAAGUGUCUUGUCAGCAGCACACGGUCAAC
This is a long non-coding RNA of Schistocerca serialis cubense, 676 nucleotides long. RefSeq lists it as uncharacterized. The transcript has 5 exons. Lineage: Eukaryota; Metazoa; Arthropoda; Insecta; Orthoptera; Acrididae. The record is from RefSeq and is a predicted model, not a curated record.